GACGAACGCUGGCGGCGUGCUUAAAACAUGCAAGUCGAACGGGGUCCAACCACUCGCAAGAGUGGGGAAGACCGAGUGGCGAACGGGUGCGUAACACGUGAGGAACCUGCCCCGGAGACCGGGAUAACCCUCCGAAAGGAGGGCUAAUACCGGAUGUCCUCGUCUGAUCGCAUGGUCGGACGAAGAAAUGGAUUCCGCUCCGGGAUGGCCUCGCGGCCUAUCAGCUUGUUGGUGAGGUAACGGCUCACCAAGGCGACGACGGGUAGCUGGUCUGAGAGGACGAUCAGCCACACUGGGACUGAGACACGGCCCAGACUCCUACGGGAGGCAGCAGUUAGGAAUCUUGCGCAAUGGGCGAAAGCCUGACGCAGCAACGCCGCGU
This 382-nucleotide ribosomal RNA is filed under the name uncultured bacterium. RNAcentral describes it as "bacterial SSU rRNA". It matches the Rfam family "Bacterial small subunit ribosomal RNA", at positions 28 to 402 of the family's 1533-position model. The record is from RNAcentral.